Molecule: ribosomal RNA, 342 nt
Filed under: Klebsiella pneumoniae
Lineage: Bacteria; Pseudomonadati; Pseudomonadota; Gammaproteobacteria; Enterobacterales; Enterobacteriaceae
Description: bacterial SSU rRNA
Rfam family: Bacterial small subunit ribosomal RNA
Source: RNAcentral
CAUCAUGGCCCUUACGACCAGGGCUACACACGUGCUACAAUGGCAUAUACAAAGAGAAGCGACCUCGCGAGAGCAAGCGGACCUCAUAAAGUAUGUCGUAGUCCGGAUUGGAGUCUGCAACUCGACUCCAUGAAGUCGGAAUCGCUAGUAAUCGUAGAUCAGAAUGCUACGGUGAAUACGUUCCCGGGCCUUGUACACACCGCCCGUCACACCAUGGGAGUGGGUUGCAAAAGAAGUAGGUAGCUUAACCUUCGGGAGGGCGCUUACCACUUUGUGAUUCAUGACUGGGGUGAAGUCGUAACAAGGUAACCGUAGGGGAACCUGCGGUUGGAUCACCUCCUU